AUUGAACGCUGGCGGCAGGCCUAACACAUGCAAGUCGAGCGGAUGAAGGGAGCUUGCUCCUGGAUUCAGCGGCGGACGGGUGAGUAAUGCCUAGGAAUCUGCCUGGUAGUGGGGGAUAACGUCCGGAAACGGGCGCUAAUACCGCAUACGUCCUGAGGGAGAAAGUGGGGGAUCUUCGGACCUCACGCUAUCAGAUGAGCCUAGGUCGGAUUAGCUAGUUGGUGGGGUAAAGGCCUACCAAGGCGACGAUCCGUAACUGGUCUGAGAGGAUGAUCAGUCGCACUGGAACUGAGACACGGUCCAGACUCCUACGGGAGGCAGCAGUGGGGAAUAUUGGACAAUGGGCGAAAGCCUGAUCCAGCCAUGCCGCGUGUGUGAAGAAGGUCUUCGGAUUGUAAAGCACUUUAAGUUGGGAGGAAGGGCAGUAAGUUAAUACCUUACUGUUUUGACGUUACCAACAGAAUAAGCACCGGCUAACUUCGUG
Molecule: ribosomal RNA, 484 nt
Filed under: uncultured bacterium
Lineage: Bacteria
Description: partial 16S ribosomal RNA
Rfam family: Bacterial small subunit ribosomal RNA
Source: RNAcentral